GUCUAUGGCCAUAUCACCUUGAACACAUCCUAUCUUGUGUGAUCUCAGAAGCUAAGCAGGGUCAGGCCUGGUUAGUUCUGGCAUGUUAGACAUAUGGAUAUGUAGCUGGGCAAACCAGGUUUAGAUAUACACA
RNAcentral lists this ribosomal RNA (133 nucleotides) under Erinaceus europaeus (western European hedgehog). The record is from RNAcentral. Lineage: Eukaryota; Metazoa; Chordata; Mammalia; Eulipotyphla; Erinaceidae.